Molecule: ribosomal RNA, 1222 nt
Filed under: Escherichia coli
Lineage: Bacteria; Pseudomonadati; Pseudomonadota; Gammaproteobacteria; Enterobacterales; Enterobacteriaceae
Description: partial 23S ribosomal RNA
Rfam family: Bacterial large subunit ribosomal RNA
Source: RNAcentral
GGGUUGUGAGGUUAAGCGACUAAGCGUACACGGUGGAUGCCCUGGCAGUCAGAGGCGAUGAAGGACGUGCUAAUCUGCGAUAAGCGUCGGUAAGGUGAUAUGAACCGUUAUAACCGGCGAUUUCCGAAUGGGGAAACCCAGUGUGAUUCGUCACACUAUCAUUAACUGAAUCCAUAGGUUAAUGAGGCGAACCGGGGGAACUGAAACAUCUAAGUACCCCGAGGAAAAGAAAUCAACCGAGAUUCCCCCAGUAGCGGCGAGCGAACGGGGAGCAGCCCAGAGCCUGAAUCAGUGUGUGUGUUAGUGGAAGCGUCUGGAAAGGCGCGCGAUACAGGGUGACAGCCCCGUACACAAAAAUGCACAUGCUGUGAGCUCGAUGAGUAGGGCGGGACACGUGGUAUCCUGUCUGAAUAUGGGGGGACCAUCCUCCAAGGCUAAAUACUCCUGACUGACCGAUAGUGAACCAGUACCGUGAGGGAAAGGCGAAAAGAACCCCGGCGAGGGGAGUGAAAAAGAACCUGAAACCGUGUACGUACAAGCAGUGGGAGCACGCUUAGGCGUGUGACUGCGUACCUUUUGUAUAAUGGGUCAGCGACUUAUAUUCUGUAGCAAGGUUAACCGAAUAGGGGAGCCGAAGGGAAACCGAGUCUUAACUGGGCGUUAAGUUGCAGGGUAUAGACCCGAAACCCGGUGAUCUAGCCAUGGGCAGGUUGAAGGUUGGGUAACACUAACUGGAGGACCGAACCGACUAAUGUUGAAAAAUUAGCGGAUGACUUGUGGCUGGGGGUGAAAGGCCAAUCAAACCGGGAGAUAGCUGGUUCUCCCCGAAAGCUAUUUAGGUAGCGCCUCGUGAAUUCAUCUCCGGGGGUAGAGCACUGUUUCGGCAAGGGGGUCAUCCCGACUUACCAACCCGAUGCAAACUGCGAAUACCGGAGAAUGUUAUCACGGGAGACACACGGCGGGUGCUAACGUCCGUCGUGAAGAGGGAAACAACCCAGACCGCCAGCUAAGGUCCCAAAGUCAUGGUUAAGUGGGAAACGAUGUGGGAAGGCCCAGACAGCCAGGAUGUUGGCUUAGAAGCAGCCAUCAUUUAAAGAAAGCGUAAUAGCUCACUGGUCGAGUCGGCCUGCGCGGAAGAUGUAACGGGGCUAAACCAUGCACCGAAGCUGCGGCAGCGACGCUGAUGCGUUGUUGGGUAGGGGAGCGUUCUGUAAGCCUGUGA